GGACUUGUAGCUCAGUUGGUUAGAGCAACAGACUCAUAAUCUGGAGGUCC
This 50-nucleotide transfer RNA is filed under the name Bacteroides sp. CAG:530. It matches the Rfam family "tRNA", at positions 1 to 48 of the family's 71-position model. Rfam says of the family: Transfer RNA (tRNA) molecules are approximately 80 nucleotides in length. Lineage: Bacteria; Pseudomonadati; Bacteroidota; Bacteroidia; Bacteroidales; Bacteroidaceae. The record is from Rfam by way of RNAcentral.